UGCUCAGCAACUUCCAUCCAUACCUCCUCGUGGUACUGGCCGGGGUACGAGUAACCUUGUGUAAAAUCGAGUAACCAACCCCCAGUGGGAAAUUUGGUCGUAUGCUGUCAGGGAAGG
RNAcentral lists this ribozyme (117 nucleotides) under Aedes aegypti (yellow fever mosquito). RNAcentral's name for it is "drz-agam-1 ribozyme". It matches the Rfam family "drz-agam-1 ribozyme". Lineage: Eukaryota; Metazoa; Arthropoda; Insecta; Diptera; Culicidae. The record is from Rfam by way of RNAcentral.